AAUGAACGCUGGCGGCGUGCCUAACACAUGCAAGUCGGAUGUUCCGCCAGGUGCAUGGCAGACGGGUGAGUAACGCGUAGGGAAUCUACCUUUUUGUGGGGAAUAACGCUCCGAAAGGAGUGGUAAUACCGCAUGAGACCGUGAGCUGGGAUGUUCACGGUGAAACCUGGGGACCGCAAGGCCUGGGGCAAAAAGAGGAUCCUGCGUCUGAUUAGCUAGUUGGCGGGGUAAUGGCCCACCAAGGCGACGAUCAGUAGCCGGCCUGAGAGGGUGAUCGGCCACACUGGAACUGAGACACGGUCCAGACUCCUACGGGAGGCAGCAGUGGGGAAUUUUGCGCAAUGGACGAAAGUCUGACGCAGCAACGCCGCGUGGGUGAUGAAGGUCUUCGGACUGUAAAACCCUGUCGUCAGGGACGAAGGUGGCAGUGUUAAUAGCGCUGUUACUUGACGGUACCUGGAGAGGAAGCCCCGGCUAACUCUGUG
This 485-nucleotide ribosomal RNA is filed under the name uncultured bacterium. RNAcentral describes it as "partial 16S ribosomal RNA". It matches the Rfam family "Bacterial small subunit ribosomal RNA", at positions 29 to 507 of the family's 1533-position model. The record is from RNAcentral.